Molecule: ribosomal RNA, 504 nt
Filed under: uncultured bacterium
Lineage: Bacteria
Description: bacterial SSU rRNA
Rfam family: Bacterial small subunit ribosomal RNA
Source: RNAcentral
AGAGUUUGAUCCUGGCUCAGGAUGAACGCUAGCGGCAGGCUUAACACAUGCAAGUCGAGGGGCAGCGGGUCCAGCAAUGGAUGCCGGCGACCGGCGAAAGGGUGAGUAACGCGUGAGCAACAUGCCCGACACUGGGGGAUAGUCGAUGGAAACGUCGCGUAAUACCCCGUAACACAAGGGACCGCAUGAUCCUUUGUUGAAAGAUUCAUUGGUGUCGGAUUGGCUCGCGUGCCAUUAGGUAGACGGCGGGUAACGGCCCACCGUGCCGACGAUGGCUAGGGGUUCUGAGAGGAAGGUCCCCCACAUUGGAACUGAGACACGGUCCAGACUCCUACGGGAGGCAGCAGUGAGGAAUAUUGGACAAUGGCCGGAAGGCUGAUCCAGCCAUGCCGCGUGCGGGAUGACGGCCCUAUGGGUUGUAAACCGCUUUUGCCGGGGAGCAAUAAGGCCCACGUGUGGGCCGACGAGAGUACCCGGCGAAUAAGCAUCGGCUAACUCCGUGCC